Lolium perenne is the source of this 521-nucleotide non-coding RNA. NCBI's taxonomy places the organism in Eukaryota, Viridiplantae, Streptophyta, Magnoliopsida, Poales, Poaceae. The record is from RefSeq and is a predicted model, not a curated record.
UGUUUGGUUCAUACCAUGGUAAUAACCGAGAGAGGCAAUUGCUAAGUUGUGAUACUCUCAUACCUUUACUAGACGCGAACAAUUCCGGAGAAGAAGAAGAAGUGGAAUCGAACGAGGAUUUUAUUUAUAUUGUUGGUAUUCUUAUAUUGAUGAAGAUGAAGAAGUCCAGGGACAAAUAAGCCAAGGCAAGCCAUCUUUUGAUCUCUGAUAUGAUGUCUCUUUGGAUGUCAUCUUGUGCUAUCAAUAGCAUCUUGGUUCUAUGUGUGAUGAUCUCCAUAUUGUUGUCAUCUAUGCUUGGAUGCAAGCAUGGUACCUCUAGUAGUUUUAUCUUGUCAAGGUCUUGGUAAUUGGUUGGGUGUAUGGUAUCAUGGCCAUUGCUAUCCAACUUGUUUUCUAUUUUUAGCUUGAACAUGUUCCACCUCGGGACAAGAUUCAUACUACACCCCCUUCUAGUGUAGAGGUAUCAAUACCAUGAUUUUGGUGUAUUCUCAAAUUGUGAUGAGUAUGCCUGAUUCCCUUAA